Sus scrofa (pig) is the source of this 1285-nucleotide non-coding RNA. NCBI's taxonomy places the organism in Eukaryota, Metazoa, Chordata, Mammalia, Artiodactyla, Suidae. The record is from the annotation of a RefSeq genome assembly.
UAUGAUGCAAAGUCCUCUUUCAUUUCUGAGCACAUCUGUCAUUUUUACAGCCUGUGGCAGGAUUUGGCAGACACAAGAGCCAAGAUUUUCUUGAAGAUUCCACCAAAGGAUCAAGUACCUAGACGAAUAGUUCUCUCAGCUUUGGUGUCUCCCCCUAAAAGAAACCUGAAGCUUCUCUGCCGGCCAUGCUGUCUACAUCUUGCUCAGGACUUGUGAUCUUAUUGAUAUUGAGAGGGACCAACGGAGACUCAGUGAACCAGACAGAAGUCCCAGUGGUUCUUCCAGAGGAGGCACCUAUGACUCUGAACUGCGCUUAUGAGACCCUUGAUUCAGCUCCCUAUCUUUUCUGGUACGUCCAGUAUCCCAACAGAGCUCCUCAACUCCUCCUGAAGGGGUCAACUGCAAACCCGAGGGCAGAGGAGCAAGGUUUCCAGGCCACUCUGGUUAAGAGUGACAAGACCUUCCACCUGCAGAAACGCUCAGUGCAAACAUCAGACUCGGCUGUGUACUACUGCGCCCUGAGUGACACAGUGAGAGGGGCUGCAGGGGGAGCUGAGCACAAACCCAGAGGGCACAGGUGGGGACUGGCUGUGGGCUGCCCUGGGAAGGGUGGGUUCUUCUCUGUCUCUGCUCUUGCAUGCUGGAGGCAUCCUCAGGGUACUUCCAGCUCUGAUGCUCAGAGCCAGGAUCCUUGGAAUUCUUGGAUUGCUGGUCAGAGAGGAAUCUAGGCCAGGGCAGUUUAAGAGGAACCUAAGAGCUCGUUUCAGAAAUGCCUUUCUUCUCAGCCCAGCCUCUUUCCUCCAGAUGGCACAGAAUUUCUUGGAAGUGCCCCUAGCUCCAGCGUCUUCCUGUCAUCACGGCAGCUCUUACAGAACACUCAAUAAUCAUCCCACUUCUGGACUUGAGAUCCGUGCUUUGAGAAACUCUGGAUUCUGGACAUGGCCAGGACUGCGUAACCUAAUGUCUUGUUUCUAUCAUGGCAUUUAUGCCUGUGGUCCUUCUGAAGUGAGUUCUGUGAAAAAUGUCCUUGGUAAUUUGAUAGGGAUUGCAUUGAAUCUGUAGAUUGCCUUAGGUAGUAUAGUCAUUUUGAUAAUAUUAACUCUUCCAAUCCAUGAGCAUGGUAUAUCUUUCCAUCUAUUAAGAAAACAUUUGUACAUUUUAUGUCAGAAAAUUUUUUGCCUAUGUUUUCUUCUAGGAGUUUUGUGGUGCCAUGACCUGUUAUUUACAGAACUUCUUAAACUUAUGAUGCAACUGGAUCCCAAUAAAGCAUACUAAAUUGAAAAUA